GGGUAGAGUAAUGCGUGACCAACCUGCCCCAUGCUCCAGAAUAGCUCUUGGAAACGGGUGGUAAUGCUGGAUGCUCCAACUUGACGCAUGUCUUGUUGGGAAAGUGUUUAGUGGCAUGGGAUGGGGUCGCGUCCUAUCAGCUUGUAGGCGGGGUAAUGGCCCACCUAGGCUUCGACGGGUAGCCGACCUGAGAGGGCGGACGGCCACAUUGGGACUGAGAUACGGCCCAGACUCCUACGGGAGGCAGCAGGC
Molecule: ribosomal RNA, 252 nt
Filed under: uncultured Gardnerella sp.
Lineage: Bacteria; Bacillati; Actinomycetota; Actinomycetes; Bifidobacteriales; Bifidobacteriaceae
Description: partial 16S ribosomal RNA
Rfam family: Bacterial small subunit ribosomal RNA
Source: RNAcentral